GUGCUCACUUUGACAACACAUAUACUAAAAUUGGAAUGAUACAGAUUAGCAUGACCCCUCUGUAAAGGUAACAUGCAAAUGUGUGAAGCACUCCAUAUUUUU
Small nuclear RNA from Aotus nancymaae (Ma's night monkey), 102 nucleotides. Lineage: Eukaryota; Metazoa; Chordata; Mammalia; Primates; Aotidae. The record is from Ensembl.